UACGGGGGGAGCAAGCGUUGUUCGGAUUUACUGGGCGUAAAGGGCGCGUAGGCGGCCACCGCAAGUCGGUUGUGAAAUCUCUGGGCUUAACCCAGAAAGGUCAACCGAUACUGCGGGGCUAGAGUGCAGAAGGGGCAACUGGAAUUCUCGGUGUAGCGGUGAAAUGCGUAGAUAUCGAGAGGAACACCUGCGGCGAAGGCGGGUUGUUGGGCUGAUACUGACGCUGAGGCGCGAAAGCUAGGGGAGCGAACGGG
This 254-nucleotide ribosomal RNA is filed under the name uncultured bacterium. RNAcentral describes it as "partial 16S ribosomal RNA". It matches the Rfam family "Bacterial small subunit ribosomal RNA", at positions 524 to 776 of the family's 1533-position model. The record is from RNAcentral.